AUUGAACGCUGGCGGCAUGCCUUACACAUGCAAGUCGAACGGCAGCACGGGUGCUUGCACCUGGUGGCGAGUGGCGAACGGGUGAGUAAUACAUCGGAACGUACCUUAUCGUGGGGGAUAACGCAGCGAAAGCUGUGCUAAUACCGCAUACGCCCUGAGGGGGAAAGCGGGGGAUCGCAAGACCUCGCGCGAUUAGAGCGGCCGAUGCCUGAUUAGCUUGUUGGUGGGGUAAAAGCCCACCAAGGCGACGAUCAGUAGCUGGUCUGAGAGGACGAUCAGCCACACUGGGACUGAGACACGGCCCAGACUCCUACGGGAGGCAGCAGUGGGGAAUUUUGGACAAUGGGGGCAACCCUGAUCCAGCAAUGCCGCGUGAGUGAAGUAGGCCUUCGGGUUGUAAGGCUCUUUUGUCAGGGAAGAAACACCGGCUCUAACACAGUCCGGGAAUGACGGUACCUGAAGAAUAAGCACCGGCUAACUACGUGCCAGCCGCCGCCGUAA
This 501-nucleotide ribosomal RNA is filed under the name uncultured bacterium. RNAcentral describes it as "partial 16S ribosomal RNA". It matches the Rfam family "Bacterial small subunit ribosomal RNA", at positions 30 to 523 of the family's 1533-position model. The record is from RNAcentral.